Molecule: long non-coding RNA, 515 nt
Organism: Harpia harpyja (harpy eagle)
Lineage: Eukaryota; Metazoa; Chordata; Aves; Accipitriformes; Accipitridae
Exons: 2
Source: RefSeq, a predicted model, not a curated record
AUGGAUCUAUCAAAUCCUUUAUUUGGAAUGAAGAAGAAUUGGUAUUCCUGGUCAUUUACUAUUGUUAAAGUGAAAGAGGAAAAGCUGCUUCCUGAGCAGAAGAAAUACGAAAGAUCAGGAAAGUGACUAACAACAUGGAAACCUUAAUGACGCCUAUCAAGUGCAAUAACUGAGAACACCGCAGAUUGUGGCAAGGAUAACAAAAUGGGCUGUUUAGCACAAUGACUGCCAGCUAUUGUUUUUCAAGCAAAUGACUGAGACUUGGCGAUGAUUAGUCUAUAACCAGAGGAGAGGAAAAACACAAAACAAAAUGAGAAAGAGACAGGAAAUAAAACCCACAGACAAACUUCAUAUAGACAUGAAUUUCACUCCAGAAACAGUCAAUGAUCAAAUUUACUCCUCAUAUAUGCCAAUAAAGUCAGCACAUUUACACUGGGUUAAGUUUAAUCUAAUGAGCUUGAUCACAAGUUAGCUCUCUUUCUUUGGCAAUAAAUAUUUUUCGCUGCUUGAAUACA